AUUCAAAAACAUCUCCUUUAGGAAAAAAUUUUAGGUAUGACCUGCCCACUGAAAUAUUUAAAGGGCCGCGGUAUUUUGACCGUGCAAAGGUAGCAUAAUCAUUAGUCUUUUAAUUGAGGGCUUGUAUGAAUGGUUUGACGAAGUAAAGACUGUCUCACUAUAAUUUAUAAAAUUUAACUUUUGAGUUAAAAGGCUCAAAUAAUAGUAGAGGACGAGAAGACCCUAUAGAUCUUAUAUAGUUUAUUUUAAUUAUUUAUUUAGAGGUAUUUAGUAUAUUUUAAAUAAAUUAUUUUAUUGGGGUGAUAUAAAGAUAAAAAUAACUCUUUUUAGUUUAUAACAUUAAUUUAUGAAUAAUUGAUCCAAUAUUAUUGAUCAAAAGAUUAAGUUACCUUAGGGAUAACAGCGUAAUUUUUUUUGAGAGUUCUUAUCAACAAAAAAGAUUGCGACCUCGAUGUUGGAUUAAGGAAUAUUAUUAGGUGUAGAAGUUUAAUUAAUAGUCUGUUCGACCUUUAAAUCCUUACAUGAUCUGAGUUCA
RNAcentral lists this ribosomal RNA (535 nucleotides) under Ancistrocercus circumdatus. Its description in RNAcentral is "partial 16S ribosomal RNA". It matches the Rfam family "Bacterial large subunit ribosomal RNA", at positions 1805 to 2613 of the family's 2925-position model. Lineage: Eukaryota; Metazoa; Arthropoda; Insecta; Orthoptera; Tettigoniidae. The record is from RNAcentral.